Molecule: ribosomal RNA, 468 nt
Filed under: uncultured bacterium
Lineage: Bacteria
Description: partial 16S ribosomal RNA
Rfam family: Bacterial small subunit ribosomal RNA
Source: RNAcentral
GACGAACGCUGGCGGCGUGCUUAACACAUGCAAGUCGAACGGAAAGGCCCUGCUUUUGUGGGGUGCUCGAGUGGCGAACGGGUGAGUAACACGUGAGUAACCUGCCCUUGACUUUGGGAUAACUUCAGGCAACUGGGGCUAAUACCGGAUAGGAGCUCCUGCUGCAUGGUGGGGGUUGGAAAGUUUCGGCGGUUGGGGAUGGACUCGCGGCUUAUCAGCUUGUUGGUGGGGGAGUGGCUUACCAAGGCUUUGACGGGUAGCCGGCCUGGGAGGUUGACCGGCGACAUUGGGACUGAGAGACGGCGCAGACGCCAACGGGAGGCAGUAGUGGGGAGUAUUGCACAAUGGGGGGAAGCGUGAUGAAGCAAUGCCGCGUGCGGGAUGACGGCUUUCGGGUUGUAAACCGCUGUCGCCUGUGACGAAGCGGGAGUGACGGUAAUGGGUAAAGAAGCACCGGCUAACUACGUG